UGGGGAAUAUUGGACAAUGGGCGAAAGCCUGAUCCAGCCAUGCCGCGUGUGUGAAGAAGGUCUUCGGAUUGUAAAGCACUUUACGUUGGGAGGAAGGGCAGUAAGCGAAUACCUUGCUGUUUUGACGUUACCGACAGAAUAAGCACCGGCUAACUCUGUGCCAGCAGCCGCGGUAAUACAGAGGGUGCAAGCGUUAAUCGGAAUUACUGGGCGUAAAGCGCGCGUAGGCGGCUAAUUGAGUCGGAUGUGAAAUCCCCGAGCUUAACUUGGGAAUUGCAUUCGAUACUGGUUAGCUAGAGUGUGGGAGAGGAUGGUAGAAUUCCAGGUGUAGCGGUGAAAUGCGUAGAGAUCUGGAGGAAUACCGAUGGCGAAGGCAGCCAUCUGGCCUAACACUGACGCUGAGGUACGAAAGCAUGGGGAGCAAACAGG
RNAcentral lists this ribosomal RNA (429 nucleotides) under Pseudomonadota bacterium. RNAcentral's name for it is "Proteobacteria bacterium partial 16S ribosomal RNA". It matches the Rfam family "Bacterial small subunit ribosomal RNA", at positions 355 to 776 of the family's 1533-position model. The record is from RNAcentral. Lineage: Bacteria; Pseudomonadati; Pseudomonadota.